UACGUAGGGCGCAAGCGUUAUCCGGAAUUAUUGGGCGUAAAGAGCUCGUAGGCGGUUUGUCGCGUCUGCCGUGAAAGUCCGGGGCUCAACUCCGGAUCUGCGGUGGGUACGGGCAGACUAGAGUGAUGUAGGGGAGACUGGAAUUCCUGGUGUGGCGGUGAAAUGCGCAGAUAUCAGGAGGAACACCGAUGGCGAAGGCAGGUCUCUGGGCAUUAACUGACGCUGAGGAGCGAAAGCAUGGGGAGCGAACAGG
RNAcentral lists this ribosomal RNA (253 nucleotides) under uncultured bacterium. RNAcentral's name for it is "partial 16S ribosomal RNA". It matches the Rfam family "Bacterial small subunit ribosomal RNA", at positions 524 to 776 of the family's 1533-position model. The record is from RNAcentral.